Molecule: ribosomal RNA, 119 nt
Filed under: Ricinus communis (castor bean)
Lineage: Eukaryota; Viridiplantae; Streptophyta; Magnoliopsida; Malpighiales; Euphorbiaceae
Source: RNAcentral
GGGUGCGAUCAUACCAGCACUAAUGCACCGGAUCCCAUCAGAACUCCGAAGUUAAACGUGCUUGGGCGAGAGUAGUACUAACAUGGGUGACCUCUUGGGAAGUCCUCGUGUUGCACCCC